RNAcentral lists this non-coding RNA (43 nucleotides) under unclassified sequences. The record is from RNAcentral.
UGGGGAAGCGGUCUCCCCGUUAGGCAGCAUGCCCAAGAAUCGC